RNAcentral lists this unclassified non-coding RNA (189 nucleotides) under Simocybe serrulata. RNAcentral's name for it is "partial internal transcribed spacer 2". Lineage: Eukaryota; Fungi; Basidiomycota; Agaricomycetes; Agaricales; Crepidotaceae. The record is from RNAcentral.
AAUUCUCAACCUUACUAGCUUUUGCAAAGUAAGGCUUGGAUGUGAGGGUUUUUGCUGGCUUUGCAGUCGGCUCCCUUGAAAUAUAUUAGCGGUGCCCUGCUGACCAUCAGUGUGAUAAUAUCUACGCUGUUGGAAGGACUAGGAUUUUGUGCUGCUUCUAACCGUCCGAUCUCGGACAAUACAUGACAA